Molecule: ribosomal RNA, 488 nt
Filed under: uncultured bacterium
Lineage: Bacteria
Description: partial 16S ribosomal RNA
Rfam family: Bacterial small subunit ribosomal RNA
Source: RNAcentral
GAUGAACGCUGGCGGCGUGCCUAAUACAUGCAAGUCGAGCGAACGGACGAGAAGCUUGCUUCUCUGUUGUUAGCGGCGGACGGGUGAGUCACACGUGGAUAACCUACCUAUCUUUCUGGUAUAUCUUGGGAAAUCGGGCUAUAAUCCGGUAUAAUCUUUUGAUCCCCUUGGUUAAUAGGAAAAUUUCGGUUUUUGUGUCUGUAUUCGCGGCUUCUCAGCUAGUUGGUGAGGUAAUGGCUUACCAAGCUUACGAUGCAUAGCCGACCUGGCAGGGUGAUCGGCGACACGGGAACUGAGACACGGUCCAGACUCCUACGGGAGGCAGCAGUAGGGAAUCGUCCGCAAUGGGCGAAAGCAUGACGGAGCAACGCCGCGUGAGUGAUGGAGGUCUUCGGAUCGUAAAACUCUGUUAUUAGGGAAGAACAGAUGUGUAAGUAACUGUGCACAUCUUGACGGUACCUAAUCAGAAAGCCACGGCUAACUACGUG